This 274-nucleotide ribosomal RNA is filed under the name uncultured bacterium. Its description in RNAcentral is "partial 16S ribosomal RNA". It matches the Rfam family "Bacterial small subunit ribosomal RNA", at positions 523 to 796 of the family's 1533-position model. The record is from RNAcentral.
AUACGGAGGGUGCAAGCGUUAUUCGGAAUCACUGGGCGUAAAGGACGCGUAGGCGGGUUGGCAAGUCAGAUGUGAAAUCCUACAGCUUAACUGUAGAACUGCAUUUGAAACUGCUAACCUAGAGUAUGGGAGGGGGAGAUGGUAUUAGUGGUGUAGGGGUAAAAUCCGUAGAUAUCACUAGGAAUACCGAAAGCGAAGGCGAUCUCCUGGAACAUAACUGACGCUAAGGCGUGAAAGCGUGGGGAGCAAACAGGAUUAGAAACCCUUGUAGUCC